Molecule: ribosomal RNA, 292 nt
Filed under: uncultured bacterium
Lineage: Bacteria
Description: partial 16S ribosomal RNA
Rfam family: Bacterial small subunit ribosomal RNA
Source: RNAcentral
GUGCCAGCCGCCGCGGUAAUACGUAGGCAGCAAGCGUUGUUCGGAGUUACUGGGCGUAAAGGGUGUGUAGGCGGUUCCUUAAGUUUGGUGUGAAAUCUCCCGGCUCAACCGGGAGGGUGCGUCGAAUACUGAGGAGCUAGAGUGCGGGAGAGGAAAGUGGAAUUCCUGGUGUAGCGGUGAAAUGCGUAGAUAUCAGGAGGAACACCGGUGGUGUAAACGGCUUUCUGGACCGUAACUGACGCUGAGACACGAAAGCGUGGGUAGCAAACAGGAUUAGAUACCCCAGUAGUCC